This is a non-coding RNA of Epinephelus lanceolatus (giant grouper), 1698 nucleotides long. The record is from RefSeq and is a predicted model, not a curated record. NCBI's taxonomy places the organism in Eukaryota, Metazoa, Chordata, Actinopteri, Perciformes, Serranidae.
UUACCCCGGCUGGAAAGAGCUGUGGUCGUGCCUCACUGAAAGUCGUUCAUCUUGAAAGGUUAACUGCUGGAGUCGGAGAGAUGGGAAACACAGGUGCAGGAAAGUUUUGAGUUAUUUCAGAUCUCUGAGCGAGCAGUCUGUUUUGUUUGGUGAAGAAUAAAGAGAGGAAAGAAGCUCAACUGCAGCGGUUUUCAGAUGCAGUUCCCAAGGGGAUGGUGUUGAAACCAGAGCAGAAAAUUAAAACUUUGGCCCUGAGGGGAGCAGAGAGGUGGGGGCCUGGGUGAAGGAGGUGCUUCUCCGUUUCAAGGCCAUCAUUUGUUUUUACAACGGAAAAUCCUGCCAAAGCUUCUCUGCACUAAUUUCCAGACAAGGUAAACCAACGUUUCUUCAUGCUCCAAUGAAAGUCUCAAUCAGUACUUCUUUUUCUUUCUUUUUUUACACCUAAUAAGUCACUUGAAAGAUGGAGGAGAAAAACAGGGACCCUCAUUCAGACUUGGCAGCUCUCCUUCUUCCUAUAAGCUCUUGUCAGCAACACAGUGAACAUGUUAGGAAAGUGCAUGAAGGGCCUGUUUGAUGUGUGACACCAAGACCUUAUAGGAGACCUAUGGAAAAGGCUUGGUGGCCUGGAUGUGAAGGGAUCACAGGGCGACGAACAACGGGAGGAUUGAGUGUGUGUGGAAGGAGGAGGAGGAGAAGAGGAAGAAAAAAGGGAGUGAGGAAGAGGAGGAGCAUGCAUGGCUUCCAACCCCAAAGGGCAAGCAUCGUGAAGCUUCAGAGGACUUGGAGGAACAAGAAAUAGAGGAUUUAUUUUUCUUUUUUGGAAGGUAAAGGAAGGGGACCCUCCUUCAGCUAUACAAGGGGAAAUUCCCACCAACUGAACGAACCACCCCUCAGAUCAAAGUAUGUGUAUAUAUGUGCAUGUGCAGUCAGUGUUACACCUGUGAGCAGAGCCACCCGCACCUUAAGAGACGAGCAGAAGACGAGCUCAAAGGUGAUAAGGAAUGCAGGCGUUAAAAACAGCCUGGAAAUAUGAUACUGUCAUGUUGCAGCAUAACCAAGCAGACCCAGACACUGUUUUCAUGGUAAUAACACACAUGCUUACAUACUGUAUACACCUGUUAAAGCAGGCUGUAAUUCAGUGCUGAAGCAUUUCUGUGUCCGUGCAGUGGCAGUAAUUUGAACAGUUUUAUUGUGCUAUGUUUUAAAUGGCACCAGCAAAGAGUCUUGUAACAUGUAGGGCGGCCUAUAUGGCACUGCAUAACAUUUCUUCCACUGUAGGGGCACCCUAUAGGGCACCUGAUCACUUUUCUUUCCCACUGGGCCUCCAUAGAGGGCACUUGAUCAUAUUUUAUCUGCCAUAGGGGGCAUCUAAGAACGUACCUGUGGCAUUGCUUUCAAACGUGGGGGCACAAGUGCAACAGUGACCUGUAAUCUGUACAUUUUAAUAAGCUUUUCCCUCUUAAAAUGUGGCAUUAAAGGAGCAGUGUGUAGGAUUCAGAGGCAUAUAGUAGUGAGAACUGCAGAUUGCAACCAGCUGAAACUUCUCCCAGUUAGAAAUCUUCCAGUGUUCAUUGUACAGGGGUUUUUUAUUGGGAGCUAAAUUAUGUACAGAGGUCUCUUCCUCUCCAAAACAAACAGACUCAGUGAUUUAAAGUGGUAAAAACACUGAAAAGCACUGAAUAAAGCAGUUUCAGGUUA